RNAcentral lists this long non-coding RNA (1005 nucleotides) under Chinchilla lanigera (long-tailed chinchilla). Its description in RNAcentral is "lncRNA (ENSCLAG00000023906.1)". Lineage: Eukaryota; Metazoa; Chordata; Mammalia; Rodentia; Chinchillidae. The record is from RNAcentral.
GCCUGUUUCAUGAAUCUGUGCUGGGAAGGCCCGAAGGUCAGUGGUGGAAUCUAGAAAGUCUGUGCCAGCAGGAUGAAGGAUCUGUGUUAGCAGGCUGAGGGAUCUGCACUGGAGCCAGGAAGUGAUGCUCAGAAGAACCAGAGCUCCCCCAAAAAGGUACCACAGCUGUCCUCAGCAACAGUGAGCUCCCGAGGUCCUCCAAUGAUCAGGAUGGCCCAGUUCCCAUCAGGGAAGCCAACGCAGCAAGCUUUUCCGGGAGGCCGGCAAUGCACCAUCUUCUCCUCCAGAGCCAGGAGGCGAUGCUCAAAGUGAGGACCAGAGCUCCCCCAAAGUGAACCGAAGCCAUUCUCAGUACCAACAAGGUCCCAAGCUCCUCAGAGGAUGAAAACAGCCAAGUUCAUCUGGAAAGCCAGCAUGAUGAGCUCCUCCAAAACAACCAACAGCUCCCCACAGCUUCUACUGGCUCCCAACAGCUUCUCGGCUCCCAGCAACCUCCUUCUUCUUCUCUAGGUCUGCCUCUUAUCCUGCUGGCAACAGUCCUCAGGUAUGUGCACUGCCAACUGCACCGGGGAGACACCAAGAUCCGAAGUACGUCAACCCAGAAACAGUGCAGACCCAUUUGCAUUUCUUGUGAACUCGGGAUCGCUCCCUCUGUCACUGGGUAAGUCUGUGGAUAUCUCCCGGAGGCUGGUUUCAGCUGUGCCUGGCUCCAGAUGGGGAGCCCUCAGCGAGUCUUCCUGGGCCUUGCAGGACCAGCCUUUUGGUUCUCUACAGCUGCCCCUUCCGCUUCACCCGCUUAUGUCGGGUGGGGCUGAGACACUGCCACGCUUCAACUGCAGUGGACUUUGGCCACUGUGCGUCCAGUGGCAUCCUGUGUGGCUAACGGGAGUGUGCGCGGAAGUAACCCGAGUGGCUGUUCUCUCGUGCACGCUGACGGUGAGCAGGAUACAGUCAUGGUUUCUGUGCAGAUGGCUGCCUUGCUGUCUGGAGAGCUCCAGCACCUGA